Molecule: non-coding RNA, 28 nt
Filed under: Drosophila melanogaster (fruit fly)
Lineage: Eukaryota; Metazoa; Arthropoda; Insecta; Diptera; Drosophilidae
Also listed under: 2 other names
Source: RNAcentral
GGGUCGUUAGCUCAGUUGGUAGAGCAGU